Pteropus alecto (black flying fox) is the source of this 597-nucleotide long non-coding RNA. RefSeq lists it as uncharacterized. The record is from RefSeq and is a predicted model, not a curated record. The transcript has 3 exons. NCBI's taxonomy places the organism in Eukaryota, Metazoa, Chordata, Mammalia, Chiroptera, Pteropodidae.
UCAGCCACGCGAUGCCUGCCCCUGCCUGAAGGCGGGAAGUCAAGGUCACGCAUUCCCCCAGACAGGCCAGGGUGCGCGUGUCACGCGUGUGUGGUGCCUCUGACCCAACAGCGUCACUAAGUCCCUCCAGGGCUCAGGAACCCGUGGGGUAAGUGGCGGAACGGUCACCAAGGCCGUAAGUGGAGCGGUUUCUGCCGCCGGAGCUCACCCUGCCCGGGCGUCCCUCCCUGGGGUCGGAGGCAGCUUCCCUCCCAGCCGCCCCGAAGGCUCCCGUGGUUCGCUGGCGGCUGGAGGAACAAGCGUCCUGCAGCCCAAACUGCCUCUCCCAGCAGCUCCCCAGGGGCCGCCGUCAGACUGGUGACUAUGAUCACCGCUCGCCGGCGGCCACUUCCCCACGGAAGGCAGACCGAAGCGACCCGCCCUCUGCCACCGGCGGAGCAACGCCAGGCCAGAAGGAGCAUGAGCGCGCGAAGAGGUGCUGGUGCUGUCCCACCUUUCCGCCCAAGCCAUUAUGACGACAGAGGCGAUAGUACUGUUCGCACGGAGAACCGCGGCCACGUUUAUUUGGGCACAUCUGGGGUGGAAUGCUGACUGCAG